AACGAACGCUGGCGGCAGGCCUAACACAUGCAAGUCGAGCGCACUCUUCGGAGUGAGCGGCGGACGGGUUAGUAACGCGUGGGAACGUACCCUUUUCUGCGGAAUAGCCUCUGGAAACGGAGAGUAAUACCGCAUACGCCCUUUGGGGAAAGAAUUUCGGUGAAGGAUCGGCCCGCGUUAGAUUAGGUAGUUGGUGGGGUAACGGCCUACCAAGCCUACGAUCUAUAGCUGGUUUGAGAGGAUGAUCAGCAACACUGGGACUGAGACACGGCCCAGACUCCUACGGGAGGCAGCAGUGGGGAAUCUUCGGCAAUGGGCGCAAGCCUGACCGAGCCAUGCCGCGUGAGCGAUGAAGGCCUUAGGGUUGUAAAGCUCUUUCGCCAGGGAUGAUAAUGACAGUACCUGGUAAAGAAACCCCGGCUAACUCCGUGCCAGCCGCCGCCGUAAAA
This 449-nucleotide ribosomal RNA is filed under the name uncultured bacterium. RNAcentral describes it as "bacterial SSU rRNA". It matches the Rfam family "Bacterial small subunit ribosomal RNA", at positions 29 to 525 of the family's 1533-position model. The record is from RNAcentral.